GGCCAGUCUGCUUUGCUCAAGGCUAAAUGCCACUGCCCAGUAGGGAGUAGGUGCUCAGCCAGGCAUCCAGUGCACGAUUCUACGCUUUUUCUAGGUACACCCAGAGCUCAGAGAUGUCCCCUUUUUACUGAAGAGACCCAGAAAGAGUGACACGAUUAACAUCACACAGUUUGACAACUUGGUUAAGUGACAAGGUGAUCUCAACCGGAUCUUCAUGCCAGGAUUUCAUCUUUCACUGGGGCUGGAGAUGCGGCCACAACCCUGAGUGGAAAGGAGGUACAUCUAGAGUUCAUGGGGACCAUGGAGCUGGACGAGGAGCUAGUGGUUGCCCCGAGUGAGCCCUGGAUAUGGAAGAGCCACGCCUGCGGGGGGUGGAUUCUCCACAGAAGCAGUAUUGUCACGAAGGAUAUAAUUUGCGUUCAAGAACCAGACCACGUGUAAACAUAAUAAACGUUAGAGACGAGAUCAUCGAGCAGCACUGUAGCGUAUGAACCUCCAGUCCCUUGGAACUGGAAUUCUGCUCUAACUCUGCACUGGCCCACAGCACACUUGGAAGAAAACCGUUCACUGUAUCAGGGGCUUGAGCUCCGACGAGGGGGAUCCUCCAGUCUACUGCCCCAAGUGGCACUGACUGCCAAGAGUCAAGGGAGGCUGUGAGCAGUGACUGCAGACCCACACGGGGACCCCAGAUGUGGGCACGCCCCCGAGGCGCUUACAGAGAAGAAACAGAGACUCCAGGGUUCAUUAACAAGUUCGGCUCAUGCUCUCCUCACCCACACUUCCUAGUGGCGGGUCCUGCGCACAGCCCGUGACGCCCCCCUGCCCCUCCCCACGGCUGGAAGGGCCCGCUGCACUGGAUGACGUCCGCCGGGACCUGCCGCACCCCUGGCUGCAGGGCUGGGUGACCAGAUUCAGCAUCACACGAAGGUGUGUGUGAAAUAAAGUCCUAGCUUCCCUGCUC
Molecule: long non-coding RNA, 961 nt
Organism: Neofelis nebulosa (Clouded leopard)
Lineage: Eukaryota; Metazoa; Chordata; Mammalia; Carnivora; Felidae
Exons: 2
Source: RefSeq, a predicted model, not a curated record